This 253-nucleotide ribosomal RNA is filed under the name uncultured bacterium. Its description in RNAcentral is "partial 16S ribosomal RNA". It matches the Rfam family "Bacterial small subunit ribosomal RNA", at positions 524 to 776 of the family's 1533-position model. The record is from RNAcentral.
UACGUAGGGUGCGAGCGUUAAUCGGAAUUACUGGGCGUAAAGUGUGCGCAGGCGGCCGCGCAAGUCGAGUGUGAAAGCCCCGAGCUUAACUUGGGAAUUGCGCUCGAAACUACGUGGCUGGAGUGUGGCAGAGGAAGGUGGAAUUCCACGUGUAGCGGUGAAAUGCGUAGAGAUGUGGAGGAACACCGAUGGCGAAGGCGGGUCUCUGGGCAGUAACUGACGCUGAGGAGCGAAAGCGUGGGGAGCGAACAGG